AUGAACUAGUGGGAAAUUCCUUGAUUAUUGCAAUAUCGCCUACGGAUAGGGGUAGAACGGUCAAUUGUAAUUGCUUCAUAUCACAUUGCAUUAUUGGUUACUAGAGGAGGCUAGGGAUAGCAAGCCGGGAAUUAAUAAUAGGCUCUUUUCACCAAGGGAUUGGGUUAAGGGUAAAUAAGAAAGUAUGCAUGGCAAUUAGAUAAAUAAGUGAAUUAAAUAAGAAGAGUAGAUAAAUGAGAGUGGAUAAGAUGAAAUUGUAAACCCCAACAACACCAUUCAUCCAUAGUUUCUCAAAACCAAUUGAAUCAAUUGCAUUGCAUAUUUAUUUUUGUUCUUUGCAUAUAACCACCAAUAUUAUUCUCUUCUCAAGUCUUAUGCGAUUAGGUUACAUGAAAG
This 396-nucleotide long non-coding RNA is filed under the name Vigna radiata. RNAcentral's name for it is "long non-coding RNA (VRAD_LNC008352)". Lineage: Eukaryota; Viridiplantae; Streptophyta; Magnoliopsida; Fabales; Fabaceae. The record is from RNAcentral.